AGUGAACGCUGGCGGUAGGCCUAACACAUGCAAGUCGAACGGCAGCACAGUAAGAGCUUGCUCUUACGGGUGGCGAGUGGCGGACGGGUGAGGAAUACAUCGGAAUCUACUUUUUCGUGGGGGAUAACGUAGGGAAACUUACGCUAAUACCGCAUACGACCUACGGGUGAAAGCAGGGGAUCUUCGGACCUUGCGCGAUUGAAUGAGCCGAUGUCGGAUUAGCUAGUUGGCGGGGUAAAGGCCCACCAAGGCGACGAUCCGUAGCUGGUCUGAGAGGAUGAUCGGCCACACUGGAACUGAGACACGGUCCAGACUCCUACGGGAGGCAGCAGUAGGGAAUCUUGGGCAAUGGGCGCAAGCCUGAUCCAGCCAUACCGCGUGAGUGAAGAAGGCCUUCGGGUUGUAAAGCCCUUUUGUUGGGAAAGAAAAGCAGCAGAUUAAUACCCCGCUGUUCUGACGGUACCCAAAGAGUAAGCACCGGCUAACUUCGUG
RNAcentral lists this ribosomal RNA (492 nucleotides) under uncultured bacterium. RNAcentral's name for it is "partial 16S ribosomal RNA". It matches the Rfam family "Bacterial small subunit ribosomal RNA", at positions 29 to 507 of the family's 1533-position model. The record is from RNAcentral.